This 2620-nucleotide long non-coding RNA is filed under the name Pan troglodytes (chimpanzee). RNAcentral's name for it is "long non-coding RNA NONPTRT004187". Lineage: Eukaryota; Metazoa; Chordata; Mammalia; Primates; Hominidae. The record is from RNAcentral.
CAUGCGCCUUCUCAGACAGGGGUUCAUCUCUGCACCCCCGUGGGUACAUGCGCCUUCUCAGACAGGGGUUCAUCUCUGCACCCCGUGGGAACAUACGCCUUCUUAGCAGUUCAUCUCUGCACCCCUGGGGGCUGCCUCACAUGUUACAGCUCACUGAGCAUUCAGCAUAUAUAUAUUUUUGUGUUUUGUUUGUUGAGACAGGGUCUCACUCUGUUACCCAGGCUGGAGUGCAGUGGUGCAAUCUCGGCUCACUGCAGCCUUGACUUCCCCAGGCUCAGGUGAUUCUCCCACCUCAACCUCCCACGUAGCUGAGACUACAGCUGUGCACCACCACGCCCGGCUAAUUUUUUGUAUUUUUUUCAUAGAGGUGAGGUUUUACCAUGUUGCCCGGGCUAGUCUUGGACUCCUGGGCUCGAGCAAUCCACCGGCCUCAGCCUCCCCGAUUGCUGGGAUUGCUGGGGGAGGUCACCGCACCCGGCCUCCCGUAUGUCCUAAAAAUCCAGCAAAUGCUAGUUCGCCAGACUAUCAGAUGCAUUCUCUUCCGUGUAAAGUUCCCCAGUAUUUUCCCAUGUCCAAUGUGCUUGUAUUUCCAAUGAAAUGUACCCAGAUCUUGACGGUAGUUAGGCCACAUCUUUUCCUGCUAGAUUUUAGAAUGCAGUAAAAUGUAUUUACAUGAAUGAAAUGUUUUCUCCUACAAAACCACUUUAACAUCAUUUUCAUUAAACAUGUAAUGAAAAGUGCUUGAUGUUUUCUCUGGAGUGAUCAUGACUAAUAAAGUCAAUUCUGGAGCCCAAUUGUCUGGGCUUGAAUCCCAGAUCCACACUUUGCCAUUCACGCGACCUUGAGCAAGCCAGUUGCCCUUUGUGUGCCUCAGUUUCCUCACAUGGAAUGUUAGAUGACGCCAGUGUGUAUUACACCUUAACGUGGCUGCUGCUCGUAUUGACCAGGUGAUAGGCGUAGAAGACCAUGCCUGGUGAAACCUUUGCACUGCGUGUGUGCCAGCUACCUGCAUCAUUAUUCCAGCAGCUGUCCUCGUAACGUCGGGAAACAUUUUACAACCUGCAUUUUAUAAGCAGAAAAAUAUGGCAUUUUCAGGAGGGACACGGGAAUGGCUAUUGAUCAAAAACAGACCAGGGUUUAUCACACUGGCUGCAUAGUAAUCACCUCCCGGAUGAUUAAAAACAGCCUCCCCGGCUCCGUCUCAGAACAGGUGAUACAUAUCUACUGUAAACGCCCCGCAGACAGCUGCCUCCGUCCCAGUGCCGGGUCCUGCCUGGUUCUGAUCCUCUGGAUUUCCUGGGAUAAACAUCCUGAGGAAGAAAAGAAUGGCUCAACAAAGAAAGGAGAAAUGGGUGUUCGGCUCGCCCAGCCUCAGCCAAGGGGCAGAAAACCUCCAAGCUGGAUAGGCUGUCAUGCCCGAUGCCAAGAAAUGGAUAUUUGAAGAAUAGAGUACUAAGCUCAGAGCCAGAACCCCCCAGAUCCCCCUACACACAUGUGCAUACACAGACACACACACACAGACACAUACACACAGAUAUACAUACACACACAGACACAUGAACACAUGAACAAACGCAGAUAUGAACACACAGACAUGCACACAUGUGAACAUGCACAGACAACACACACAUGAACAGACACAUACAUACACAGAAACAUGCACACACAGAGACACAUGGAGAGAAACAUGCAUACAUGUGAACAUGCACAGACAUGAACUGACAUGAACAUAGAGACAUAUACAUAGAAACAUGCACAUAUGAACACACAAACACAGACAUGCACACACAGACACACAGACACUCAUACACAGAUACACAGACAAAUGCACACAUGGACACACAAACACAGACACAUAGAUGCACACAGAUAUAGAGACACAUGCACACAUGAACAAACAGAGAUGAACACACAGAUAUGCACACAUGUGAACACACACAGACAUACAUAGACACAUACACAAAUACACACACACAGAGCACAGACAGACACAUGCACACACAUGAACACACACAGAGACACAAUGCACACAGACACAGGCACAUGCACACACAGAUAUACAUACACAUGCACACACGUGGGCACACGGAGACAUGCACACAGAGACACAGGCACAAACACAGAUAUACACACAGACACAUGCACACACGGGCACACACAUGCACACAGAAACACGUGGACACAUGCACAUGCAUGCACGCUGACAACACAGACAUGCACAUAUGCAGAUACACAGGCACACAGAGGCAAAUGCACGCACACUCAUGCACACACACGGACACACACACAGCCAAGAGCUGUGAAGCCCCUUGCCUUACUCAUCUCUGUAUGGAGAGCCAAGCACAGCCAUGCUCUUAAUAAAUGCUCCGUCAUUUAUUCACUCAUCCCGCAAAUGUUUACUGAACACCAGCUAUGUGUCCGAUCUCUGGGAACACAGGGGUGAACCCUGCCUUUGAGUGAAACUCCUGCCUCUUGGGUGCUUGCAUUCUGCCAGUGGAAGUUGGGCCCCUGUGCUGCGCGGCUUGACUGACAUCUCCCCUGGCUUCAGGGUCUCCUCCACAAAACGCCAGUGUGGGGCCCGAUCAGAGCCUGGGCUGGGGGUGGGGGCAGCCGGGGUUUG